This 786-nucleotide non-coding RNA is filed under the name Eisenia nordenskioldi nordenskioldi. The record is from RNAcentral. Lineage: Eukaryota; Metazoa; Annelida; Clitellata; Crassiclitellata; Lumbricidae.
ACAGUUUGAAUCUGGCUGAAAACUUGGCUAAUGUGAAUCAAUAUACAUGUAAGCUUUAGCUGCCCCGCAACUAUAAAACCCUAUAAGGAUAUAAACUACAUCAAAAUUUUUAUACGUAGUAGCGCGCCACAGUAAAUAACCCUAGUAUUUUGUAAAAGCAAGAACUGGAUAUCAGUUUAAGGGUUGGCAAAAUUCGUGCCAGCUGCCGCGGUUAGACGACAGACCCAAGCCAACCUAAGCACGACUAAAUAAAUGAUGACUUAAACAGUAUUCAAGGUCUAAUUUAACAGCCCUAGAACCCUACUCAUCAAAAUCCUGUGAAGACAUAAACUAAAACACGGAUUAGAUACCCGUCUAUUUAUGUAAUAAAUGCCGGUCGAAGAAUAUGAACCACAGUUUAAAACUCAAAGAUUUUGGCGGUGUCUUACCAGACCAGGGGAACCUGUCUCAUAACUCGAUAAUCCACGAAUACCUUACCCCUCCUAGAUUACUCAGUUUGUGUACUGCCGUCGUAAGCACUCCUUUAAAAGUAGUUAAGUAUGCAACCAUGAUCACCUCAUUUACGUCAGGUCAAAGUGCAGCUAAUGGAGAGGUGGUGAUGGGUUACACCCUAAAUAAAGACUACGGAAUACUCUAUCAAACAAUUUAUAUGAAGGUGGACUUGGAUGUAAUAAUAGUCUUCAACUAUACUGAAAUUGAAUCUAAGACAUGCACACAUCGCCCGUCACUCUCGCCCAAAGGUGGGAUAAGUCGUAACAAAGUAGGUGUAACGGAAGUUGCACCUGU